UGCAUAUCAAAAAGCGGAGGAUAAGAAACCAACAGGGAUUGCCUUAGUAGCGGCGAGUGAAGCGGCAAAAGCUCAAAUUUGAAAUCUGGCUCUUUCAGAGUCCGAGUUGUAAUUUGAAGAAGGUAUCUUUGGGUCUGGCUCUUGUCUAUGUUUCUUGGAACAGAACGUCACAGAGGGUGAGAAUCCCGUGCGAUGAGAUGAUCCAGGCCUAUGUAAAGUUCCUUCGAAGAGUCGAGUUGUUUGGGAAUGCAGCUCUAAGUGGGUGGUAAAUUCCAUCUAAAGCUAAAUAUUGGCGAGAGACCGAUAGCGAACAAGUACAGUGAUGGAAAGAUGAAAAGAACUUUGAAAAGAGAGUGAAAAAGUACGUGAAAUUGUUGAAAGGGAAGGGCUUGAGAUCAGACUUGGUAUUUUGUAUGUUACUUCUUCGGGGGUGGCCUCUACAGUUUAUCGGGCCAGCAUCAGUUUGGGCGGUAGGAGAAUUGCGUUGGAAUGUGGCACGGCUUCGGUUGUGUGUUAUAGCCUUCGUCGAUACUGCCAGCCUAGACUGAGGACUGCGGUUUAUACCUAGGAUGUUGGCAUAAUGAUCUUAAGUCGCCCGUCUUGAACCACGGACCCA
This 616-nucleotide ribosomal RNA is filed under the name Candida tropicalis. Its description in RNAcentral is "eukaryotic LSU rRNA". It matches the Rfam family "Eukaryotic large subunit ribosomal RNA", at positions 37 to 669 of the family's 3401-position model. The record is from RNAcentral. Lineage: Eukaryota; Fungi; Ascomycota; Pichiomycetes; Serinales; Debaryomycetaceae.